CCGCCACGUGUGAAGUGCAGCAAGCAGGAUGAAAACCACUGCACGGUUUUCUGUUGCAGUACAUCAUUUAUAAUAACGAAAGUCCCUUAUAACAACCAGUUGGGAUAACAAUCGAUCAUGGGAGAGAAUGACAACAACCAAAUCUGUUCUGAAUCUUCUGCCAAUCAAUGUCAUUGAGUGACCUCCCAAGUUCCAAUCUCUUAGCCUGCAAGUCUACAUCUCUCUAUAAACAUGGAAUUUCAAUUAGCUAGACGUUUCUCUCUCUCUUCCCCCACUUUUUUGCAGUUCAUUGAUCAAUCAGAAAAUAACACACUGCAGUACCCCAACGUUAUUAUUAAAUGACCUGUAUUUAAAUUUGUGCUAGGAACACAUGUUAUCAUGGAAAACAAAUGCUAAUAAUAAAGUGUUCACUUAUGCUCA
Long non-coding RNA from Hemicordylus capensis (graceful crag lizard), 420 nucleotides. RefSeq lists it as uncharacterized. The transcript is spliced from 2 exons. The record is from RefSeq and is a predicted model, not a curated record. NCBI's taxonomy places the organism in Eukaryota, Metazoa, Chordata, Lepidosauria, Squamata, Cordylidae.